Molecule: ribosomal RNA, 294 nt
Filed under: Triticum aestivum (bread wheat)
Lineage: Eukaryota; Viridiplantae; Streptophyta; Magnoliopsida; Poales; Poaceae
Description: partial small subunit ribosomal RNA
Source: RNAcentral
AUGCUAGAGAGCUCUACAGGAGAGGGGGAGGAAUUCAUCAAUGAAGUUGCAACCAUUGGACUGAUCCACCAUGCAAAUAUCGUCCAUCUUUUGGGCUUUUGCUCCGAAGGAAUGAGACGGGCUCUUAUUUAUGAAUUCAUGCCUAACGAGUCACUGGAGAAAUACAUAUUCCCACAUGUUUCCAAUAUUUCUCGACAACUCAUAUCACAAAAAAAUGCUAGAUAUUGCUUUAGGAAUUGCCCGAGGGAUGGAAUACCUGCACCAAGGCUGCAACCAGCGCAUCCUCCACUUUGA